GUCAGAUCUCAUUGACGGUUGGUCUGGACAUUGUUUGGGCUGUACUAUCACUGCAAUACGAUGAAUAAAGAUCAGCAGUCUUCAGAGAUCUCCUGUCUGCACUGUCUCCUUUGGACGCCUUGUUCCAGAAGUGCUAAUUAGUAAAUAGUCAAGUGUUUUGGAAAC
This is a long non-coding RNA of Alosa sapidissima (American shad), 165 nucleotides long. RefSeq lists it as uncharacterized. The transcript has 3 exons. NCBI's taxonomy places the organism in Eukaryota, Metazoa, Chordata, Actinopteri, Clupeiformes, Clupeidae. The record is from RefSeq and is a predicted model, not a curated record.